CACACUAUCAUUAACUGAAUCCAUAGGUUAAUGAGGCGAACCGGGGGAACUGAAACAUCUAAGUACCCCGAGGAAAAGAAAUCAACCGAGAUUCCCCCAGUAGCGGCGAGCGAACGGGGAGGAGCCCAGAGCCUGAAUCAGUGUGUGUGUUAGUGGAAGCGUCUGGAAAGGCGCGCGAUACAGGGUGACAGCCCCGUACACAAAAAUGCACAUAUUGUGAGCUCGAUGAGUAGGGCGGGACACGUGGUA
This 249-nucleotide ribosomal RNA is filed under the name Escherichia coli. RNAcentral describes it as "partial 23S ribosomal RNA". It matches the Rfam family "Bacterial large subunit ribosomal RNA", at positions 144 to 431 of the family's 2925-position model. Lineage: Bacteria; Pseudomonadati; Pseudomonadota; Gammaproteobacteria; Enterobacterales; Enterobacteriaceae. The record is from RNAcentral.